This 1060-nucleotide unclassified non-coding RNA is filed under the name Limulus polyphemus (Atlantic horseshoe crab). RNAcentral describes it as "cDP-diacylglycerol--inositol 3- phosphatidyltransferase 1-like, transcript variant X5". Lineage: Eukaryota; Metazoa; Arthropoda; Merostomata; Xiphosura; Limulidae. The record is from RNAcentral.
AAAACGAACAAACAAGUUUCUUGAUUUUUUAUUCUUUUAAAACUUAUUUUUGGAUUAUAAUCUCUCAAAUAUUAAAAUGUUUGAAAGCGCUAUCUGCAAUUAUGAUUUUGUAAACAACUGCAGAGGUCCAGGUGGUACAGAGGCUGUGACAAGCUAGAAGUAGAAAUUGGGGCUCAUGGAAGAAUUGAAAGUUGUUAAAAGGUGAAGAAAAAAAUGAAUCCGGUGUUAGUUUUCAUUCCAAAUAUUAUUGGUUAUAUCAGAAUAAUCCUACUAUUUAUAGGAUGGAUAAUUUCAGACAAUUCUUACUGGUUUCUUGUGGUGUAUGUGACAUCUGUAAUGCUUGAUGGAAUUGAUGGAUGGGCAGCCAGAAAAUUUAACCAAGUUUCUGAUUUUGGUGCUUGGCUUGAUGUUAUAAUUGACAAUAUUGGAAGAGGAAUGCUGUGGUGUCUUAUUAGUCCGAGUGGAUAUUUUGUGUCAGUGGUGGAAUGGGUAUCUUUCAUCAGUAAUUAUACACAAAGAGGAUCAUCAUGGAAACAGCUUCAAGAACCACCUGAGUUUGCUGCCAAAGUCAUGAAGAAUGGUUGCAGAACCCCUCCUGGAAUGUUUGCUAUUGCAGGCCUACACUUUUUACCUGUAUGGCUGUAUGUAAUACAGAGAAGAAUCUUAGCAGAAGCCCUGAUUGGUGUCUUUGUCAAGUUACAGUACAUUGUCUUGGGUUUCCUUUUGGUUGGUCGAGCAUUAGCAAUGAGUGUUGAAGUAUGGUGCAUCUUUGCUCACAUCAGAAGACUUCUGAUACAAGAAAUGGUUCACAUGCACUGAAUCCACCACCACAGUUGUUUAAAGACCAUGAGAUAAGCAGAAGUAGCAACAACAAGUAGGCUAGAAACUAAAGCCACUGACAAAGCCUACCGAAGUUAUUGAACCAAGUAAGAACAUUUCCACAUUCACUCUCCGAUUCUAUACGAGCUGAUGCUUCCCUAAUUAAUAACACAGGCCUGUGCUGGGUUUAUUGUAUUGAAAUUUUUGUGUCCUACAGUAAUUCCUGUAUACUGAAUCCAAA